GCUGGCGGCGUGCCUAAUACAUGCAAGUCGAACGGUCUUUCUAUGGAAGCUUGCUUCCACUGAGAAGAUAGUGGCGGACGGGUGAGUAACACGUGGGUAACCUGCCCAUAAGAGGGGGAUAACAAUCCGGAAACGGGUGCUAAUACCGCAUAGUUUUCUUGAUCGCAUGAUCGAGAAAGGAAAGACGGCCUUUGUGCUGUCGCUUAUGGAUGGACCCGCGGCGUAUUAGUUAGUUGGUGAGGUAAUGGCUCACCAAGACGAUGAUACGUAGCCGACCUGAGAGGGUGAUCGGCCACAUUGGGACUGAGACACGGCCCAAACUCCUACGGGAGGCAGCAGUAGGGAAUCUUCCGCAAUGGACGAAAGUCUGACGGAGCAACGCCGCGUGAGUGAAGAAGGUUUUCGGAAUCGUAAAACUCUGUUGUCAGAGAAGAACAAGUUGGAGAGUAACUGCUCCAGCCUUGACGGUAUCUGACCAGAAAGCCACGGCUAACUACGUGCCAGCAGCUGC
This 511-nucleotide ribosomal RNA is filed under the name uncultured bacterium. RNAcentral describes it as "bacterial SSU rRNA". It matches the Rfam family "Bacterial small subunit ribosomal RNA", at positions 35 to 518 of the family's 1533-position model. The record is from RNAcentral.